Molecule: long non-coding RNA, 705 nt
Organism: Benincasa hispida (wax gourd)
Lineage: Eukaryota; Viridiplantae; Streptophyta; Magnoliopsida; Cucurbitales; Cucurbitaceae
Source: RefSeq, a predicted model, not a curated record
UCGCAUCAAGAAAAUGCUGCCUCCCACUUUCAUCAACGCUGAUGCCUUCAAAAACCAGCCACUCUGAGAAUCUUGGUUCAACUGGACCUAUCUCAAAGAUUGGGUUUACGUGCAGAGGAGUCGGCCCCAUUGGUGUCAGAGAAAACGAAGAGAAAAGAAAGGAGAGAACUUGAGGGAAAUGCUGCCGGAAAUCUUGGACGAUGAGGCUGCUAUCAUCUAGUCGAUUGGAGGUAAAGCAGGAAGUCGUCUAGACGAUAAGGGAAAAGUCGUCUAGACGAUGGAGACUUUACUAAAGAUCGUCUAGACGAUGGGGUUCAAGUCGAUGAUGGUCUACAUGAUAGAGGUGUUGAGGUAAACGAUCGAUGGCUAAAUGCUACACGAUUGAUGGCUCAAAGGUAAACGAUAAAACAAAGAAGAUCGGAGAAGAAGAUGAACACGAUGAUUUACGUGGUUCGGCCAAGGAUAGCCUACAUUCAUGGAGAAGCAGACGGGAGUUUUUAUUAGGGGAAAUUACAAGAUUGAUACAAGAUAAGUCUCGAUGCUUUCUUGCACACUCUGUAUAUUUUUCUCUUUUACAUUUACAUUUGGUUACAAAGUGUAUAUAAAGGUAGCUUGAAUGUAACUAAUUUGUAACAACCUUGAAGUUGUUUUCACCUUUCUGUAAUAACAAUCUCCACUUUGAAAUAAACUUCAAGUUUUUCUUCA